GAUGAACGCUAGCGGCAGGCCUAACACAUGCAAGUCGAGGGGUAGAGGCUUUCGGGCCUUGAGACCGGCGCACGGGUGCGUAACGCGUAUGCAAUCUGCCUUUCACAGAGGGAUAGCCCAGAGAAAUUUGGAUUAAUACCUCAUAGCAUAACACAACCGCAUGGUUGAGUUAUUAAAGUCACAACGGUGAAAGAUGAGCAUGCGUCCCAUUAGUUAGUUGGUAAGGUAACGGCUUACCAAGACUUCGAGGGGUAGGGGUCCUGAGAGGGAGAUCCCCCACACUGGUACUGGGACACGGACCAGACUCCUACGGGAGGCAGCAGUGAGGAAUAUUGGUCAAUGGGCGCAAGCCUGAACCAGCCAUGCCGCGUGCAGGAUGACGGUCCUAUGGAUUGUAAACUGCUUUUGUACGAGAAGAAACACUCCUUCGUGAAGGAGCUUGACGGUAUCGUAAGAAUAAGGAUCGGCUAACUCCGUGCCAGCAGCCGCCGUAA
This 494-nucleotide ribosomal RNA is filed under the name uncultured bacterium. RNAcentral describes it as "partial 16S ribosomal RNA". It matches the Rfam family "Bacterial small subunit ribosomal RNA", at positions 28 to 523 of the family's 1533-position model. The record is from RNAcentral.